RNAcentral lists this ribosomal RNA (253 nucleotides) under uncultured bacterium. RNAcentral describes it as "partial 16S ribosomal RNA". It matches the Rfam family "Bacterial small subunit ribosomal RNA", at positions 524 to 776 of the family's 1533-position model. The record is from RNAcentral.
UACGAAGGGGGCUAGCGUUGCUCGGAAUCACUGGGCGUAAAGGGUGCGUAGGCGGGUCUUUAAGUCAGGUGUGAAAUCCUGGAGCUCAACUCCAGAACUGCCUUUGAUACUGAAGAUCUUGAGUUCGGGAGAGGUGAGUGGAACUGCGAGUGUAGAGGUGAAAUUCGUAGAUAUUCGCAAGAACACCAGUGGCGAAGGCGGCUCACUGGCCCGAUACUGACGCUGAGGCACGAAAGCGUGGGGAGCAAACAGG